GGGCAUGUAGCGCAGUUGGUAGCGCGCUCGCUUAGCAGGCCAAGGCCAAGUCCGGAUUUGAACCGGCACGGCUUACGUAAGCAACAUGCGAGAGGUCUCCGGUUCAAAUCCGGACUUGUCCA
Molecule: non-coding RNA, 122 nt
Organism: Ceratobasidium sp. 394
Lineage: Eukaryota; Fungi; Basidiomycota; Agaricomycetes; Cantharellales; Ceratobasidiaceae
Source: the annotation of a GenBank genome assembly